This 270-nucleotide ribosomal RNA is filed under the name uncultured bacterium. Its description in RNAcentral is "partial 16S ribosomal RNA". It matches the Rfam family "Bacterial small subunit ribosomal RNA", at positions 28 to 308 of the family's 1533-position model. The record is from RNAcentral.
AACGAACGCUGGCGGCAUGCCUAACACAUGCAAGUCGAACGCUCCUGGGGCUUCGGUCCCUGGGGAGUGGCGCACGGGUGAGUAGCGCGUGGGAACCUGCCCUGUUGUGGGGGAUAACCGAGGGAAACUUCGGCUAAUACCGCAUGCGCCCGGGGGCGACCUCGGGGAAAGAUUUAUCGCAGCAGGAGGGGCCCGCGUCGGAUUAGCUAGUUGGUAGGGUAACGGCCUACCAAGGCGAUGAUCCGUAGCUGGUCUGAGAGGAUGAUCAGC